CCGCUCUGCAGCAGCUCCCCUUCCCCUUUCCUCCUUUCCGUCGGCGUUGUCAAGAACAAGGGGGGGCUGCCUUCGCCGUUCGCCCUCUUGCCGGCGUGUUUUCGGCGAUCUGGCAUCGGAAACGAGUUCCUCACCCCCGAAAACCCCGGAAGCAACCCUCCUCCGUCGGAAAGUCCUUGCCGGCAGCCUUGGGAAGUGUCGCGUGAGCAGCGACUUUCCGGCCCCGAUCCGCCGCCUUCCGGCCACUUUCCGGCCAAAACUCUUGUACUUCCGGACUCCCCGCAACUUGAGCUUCGCGUAGGCGCUUCCGGAUUUGAAUUCCGACACUGUUGGCAGGACCGGCUUCCGGACCCCGGUGUUUUCUGGACGCGCGAAAUAUUUUAAUUUUUAACUCGGUAUAAUUUUAUUUUAGACUCUAA
Molecule: long non-coding RNA, 419 nt
Filed under: Ricinus communis (castor bean)
Lineage: Eukaryota; Viridiplantae; Streptophyta; Magnoliopsida; Malpighiales; Euphorbiaceae
Description: long non-coding RNA (RCOM_LNC003409)
Source: RNAcentral